AAUAAAAUUAAGUUAAGGAAAUUUAAUUACAUUACCCAAACAAAUAAUUUUACAAUUGAUGGAAUUUUACCACUUUAUCCAAACAAUGAAAUUUGAAAAUCAAGGGAAUUCAAUUGAAUUGUCUAGUAUUUAAAAUCCCUUGAAUUUCUAGAAUCCCCCGUCCAAACACACUUAGGAAACAAUAUACUCCCUCUUAUAGGGAGUUAUAUGGCAAACGAAAUACAUUAAAAAAUAUAAUUAGCUUUAUAAAAUUACUACUACUUUACAAUUUUGUUUUUUUUUUGUGUAUGGAAAAGGGAGAUUAAAUUAACAAUAAUUUGAUUGAUCCGAGUGUUAAAGGAACGUGUGCCUCUAAAACCAGUUCUCGUGAGUUUGAUUUUCGACUUUUAUGUAUGAAAAAAUUUAGUUGGAAGAGGAGAAUUGUCCUAAUAUGUUCUACAAAUUCUCCAACAAAAAUUAGUCACUGCUAAACGACGUUAGAAACUUCGUACGCCUAACAAAAGAAACAUAAAUUAAAUAUAUAAUGUAUAAUUAAAAAAACAAAAUAAAUAUCACUUUGUCUAGUUCUUUUUAUAAGAAAGAAAAAGAAAAAU
RNAcentral lists this long non-coding RNA (593 nucleotides) under Trifolium pratense (red clover). RNAcentral's name for it is "long non-coding RNA (TPRA_LNC009164)". The record is from RNAcentral. Lineage: Eukaryota; Viridiplantae; Streptophyta; Magnoliopsida; Fabales; Fabaceae.